CACUGCCGAGAAAAGCCUCUAGAUAGAAAAUAGGUGCCCGUACCGCAAACCGACACAGGUAGUCAAGAUGAGAAUUCUAAGGUGAGCGAGCGAACUCUCGUUAAGGAACUCGGCAAAAUGACCCCGUAACUUCGGGAGAAGGGGUGCUCUUUAGGGUUAACGCCCAGAAGAGCCGCAGUGAAUAGGCCCAAGCGACUGUUUAUCAAAAACACAGGUCUCUGCUAAACCGUAAGGUGAUGUAUAGGGGCUGACGCCUGCCCGGUGCUGGAAGGUUAAGAGGAGUGGUUAGCUUCUGCGAAGCUACGAAUCGAAGCCCCAGUAAACGGCGGCCGUAACUAUAACGGUCCUAAGGUAGCGAAAUUCCUUGUCGGGUAAGUUCCGACCCGCACGAAAGGCGUAACGAUUUGGGCACUGUCUCAACGAGAGACUCGGUGAAAUCAUAGUACCUGUGAAGAUGCAGGUUACCCGCGACAGGACGGAAAGACCCCGUGGAGCUUUACUGUAGCCUGAUAUUGAAAUUCGGCACAGCUUGUACAGGAUAGGUAGGAGCCUUUGAAACGUGAGCGCUAGCUUACGUGGAGGCGCUGGUGGGAUACUACCCUAGCUGUGUUGGCUUUCUAACCCGCACCACUUAUCGUGGUGGGAGACAGUGUCAGGCGGGCAG
Molecule: ribosomal RNA, 664 nt
Filed under: Staphylococcus aureus
Lineage: Bacteria; Bacillati; Bacillota; Bacilli; Caryophanales; Staphylococcaceae
Description: partial 23S ribosomal RNA
Rfam family: Bacterial large subunit ribosomal RNA
Source: RNAcentral